GCUGGGUGUGGUAGUGCACGCCUGUAAUCCCAGCAGCUGGGGAGGCUGAGGCAGGAGGAUCUCAAGUUCAAAGCCAGCCUCAGCAACGGAGUGAGGCCUUAAGCAACUUAUUGAGACCCUGUCCCAA
This 127-nucleotide small RNA is filed under the name Marmota monax (woodchuck). Lineage: Eukaryota; Metazoa; Chordata; Mammalia; Rodentia; Sciuridae. The record is from RNAcentral.